AUAAGAGCUAUUGGUGGAUGCCUUGGCAUUGACAGGCGAAGAAGGACGCGAAUACCUGCGAAAAGCUCCGGCGAGCUGGUGAUAAGCAAAGACCCGGAGGUAUCCGAAUGGGGAAACCCGGUAGAGUAAUAGACUACCAUUGCAUGCUGAAUACAUAGGUAUGCAAAGCGACACCUGCCGAACUGAAACAUCUUAGUAAGCAGAGGAAAAGAAAUCGAAGAGAUUCCCUGUGUAGCGGCGAGCGAAAGGGGAAUAGCCUAAACCGAGCUGAUAAGGCUCGGGGUUGUAGGAUUGAGGAUAAAGGAUCAGGACUCCUAGUUGAACACAUCUGGAAAGAUGGAUGAUACAGGGUGAUAGUCCCGUAGACGAAAGGAGAGAAAGACCGACCUCAACACCUGAGUAGGACUAGACGUGAAACCUAGUCUGAAUCUGGGGAGACCACUCUCCAAGGCUAAAUACUAGUCAAUGACCGAUAGUGAACCAGUACUGUGAAGGAAAGGCGAAAAGAACCCUUGUUAAGGGAGUGAAAUAGAACCUGAAACCAGUAGCUUACAAGCGGUCGGAGACCAAUGGCCCGUAAGGGUCAAGUGACGGCGUGCCUUUUGCAUGAUGAGCCAGGGAGUUAAGCUAAACGGCGAGGUUAAGGGAUAUACAUUCCGGAGCCGGAGCGAAAGCGAGUUUUAAAAGAGCGAAGAGUCGUUUGGUUUAGACACGAAACCAAGUGAGCUAUUUAUGACCAGGUUGAAGCAUGGGUAAAACUAUGUGGAGGACCGAACUAGUACCUGUUGAAAAAGGUUUGGAUGAGUUGUGAAUAGGGGUGAAAGGCAAUCAAACUUGGAGAUAUCUUGUUCUCUCCGAAAUAACUUUAGGGUUAGCCUCGGAUAAAGCUUUUGGGGGUAGAGCACUGAAUUCUAGCGGGGGCCUACCGGCUUACCAACGGAAAUCAAACUCCGAAUACCAGAAGCGAGUCCGGGAGAUAGACAGCGGGGGCUAAGCUUCGUUGGAGAGGGGAACAGCCCAGACCGCCGAUUAAGGUCCCUAAUUUUAUGCUAAGUGGGUAAGGAAGUGAUGAUUCGAAGACAGUUGGAAUGUUGGCUUAGAGGCAGCAAUCAUUUAAAGAGUGCGUAACAGCUCACCAAUCGAGAAUCAUUGCGCCGAUAAUAAACGGGACUAAGCAUAAAACCGACAUCGCGGGUGUGUCGAUAAGACACGCGGUAGGAGAGCGUAGUAUUCAGCAGAGAAGGUGUACCGGAAGGAGGGCUGGAGCGGAUACUAGUGAAGAUCCAUGGCAUAAGUAACGAAAAGGGAGUGAAAAUCUCCCUCGCCGUAAGCCCAAGGUUUCCAGGGUCAAGCUCGUCUUCCUGGGUUAGUCGGCCCCUAAGUUGAGGCGUAACUGCGUAGACGAUGGAGCAGCAGGUUAAAUAUUCCUGCACCACCUAAAACUAUAGCGAAGGAAUGACGGAGUAAGUUAAGCACGCGGACGAUUGGAAGAGUCCGUAGAGCGAUGAGAACGGUUAGUAGGCAAAUCCGCUAACAUAAUCAGGUCGCGAUCAAGGGGAAUCUUCGGAGGAACCGAUGGUGUGGAGCGAGGCUUUCAAGAAAUAAUUUCUAGCUGUUGAUGGUGACCGUACCAAAACCGACACAGGUGGGCGAGAUGUAUUCUAAGGCGCGCGAGAUAACUUUCGUUAAGGAACUCGGCAAAUUAUCCCCGUAACCGGAAUAAGGGGAGCCUUUUAGGGUGACUAUGGAACGAUAGGAGCCCCGGGGGGCCGCAGAGAAAUGGCCCAGGCGACUGUUUAGCAAAAACACAGCACUAUGCAAACCUCUAAGGGGAAGUAUAUGGUGUGACGCCUGCCCAAUGCCAAAAGGUUAAAGGGAUAUGUCAGCUGUAAAGAAGCAUUGAACCUAAGCCCUGGUGAAUGGCCGCCGUAACUAUAACGGUGCUAAGGUACGAAAUUCCUUGUCGGGUAAGUUCCGACCUGCACGAAUGGUGUAACGAUCCUGGGCACUGUCUCAACGAAAGACUCGGUGAAAUUGUAGUAGCAGUGAAGAUGCUGUUUACCCGCGAAAGGACGAAAAGACCCCGUGAACCUUUACUGUACUUUGGUAUUGGUUUUUGGUUUGUUAUGUGUAGGAUAGCCAGGAGACUAAGAACACUCUUCUUCAGGAGAGUGGGAGUCAACGUUGAAACUGGUCUUAACAAGCUGGGAAUCUAACAUUAUUCCAUGAAUCUGGAAGAUGGACAUUGCCAGACGGGCAGUUUUACUGGGGCGGUAUCCUCCUAAAAAGUAACGGAGGAGCCCAAAGCAUUUCAUCGUGGUUGGCAAUCACGAGUAGAGCGUAAAGGUAUAAGAUAGGUUGACUGCAAGACCAACAAGUCGAGCAGAGACGAAAGUCGGGCUUAGUGAUCCGGCGGUGGAAAGUGGAAUCGCCGUCGCUUAACGGAUAAAAGGUACUCCGGGGAUAACAGGCUGAUCGCCACCAAGAGUUCAUAUCGACGUGGCGGUUUGGCACCUCGAUGUCGGCUCAUCGCAUCCUGGGGCUGGAAGGUCCCAAGGGUUUGGCUGUUCGCCAAUUAAAGCGUACGCGAGCUGGGUUCAAAACGUCGUGAGAAGUUUGGUCUCUAUCCUUCGUGGGCGCAGGAUACUUGAGAGGAGCUGUUCCUAGUACGAGAGGACCGGAAUGGACGAACCAAUGGUGUAUCGGUUGUUUUGCCAAGAGCAUAGCCGAGUAGCUACGUUCGGAAAGGAUAAGCAUUGAAAGCAUCUAAAUGCCAAGCCUCCCAAGAUAAGGUAUCCCAAUGAGACUCCAUGUAGACUACGUGGUUGAUAGGUUGGAGGUGAGCACAGUAAUGUGUUCAGCUAACCAAUACUAAUAAGUCCAAAGACUUGGUC
This 2894-nucleotide ribosomal RNA is filed under the name Chlamydia trachomatis. RNAcentral describes it as "bacterial LSU rRNA". It matches the Rfam family "Bacterial large subunit ribosomal RNA". Lineage: Bacteria; Pseudomonadati; Chlamydiota; Chlamydiia; Chlamydiales; Chlamydiaceae. The record is from RNAcentral.